ACUCAAAUGAAUAGACGGGGGCCCGCACAAGCGGCGGAGCGUGUUCUUUAAUUCGUCGCAACGCGAAGAACCUUACCAGGGCUUGACAUGGACCUGCAUCCCCGGGAAACCGGGUGGCCUUCGAGGGUGGUCCACAGGUGCUGCAUGGCUGUCGUCAGCUCGUGUCGUGAGAUGUUGGGUUAAGUCCCGCAACGAGCGCAACCCUUGUGUCCAGUUGUGUUUUUCUGGACAGACUGCCGGGAGCAAACCGGAGGAAGGUGGGGAUGAUGUCAAGUCAGCAUGGCCCUUACGCCCUGGGCAAGAAACACGCUACAAUGGCCGGGACAGUGGGUUGCCAAGCGGCAACGCGGAGCCAAUCCCCCAAACCCGGUCUCAGUUCGGAUCGGGGGCUGCAACUCGCCCCCGUGAAGGUGGAGUCGCUAGUAACCGCCGGUCAGCACUACGGCGGUGAAUAUGUUCCCGGGCCUUGUACACACCGCCCGU
RNAcentral lists this ribosomal RNA (483 nucleotides) under uncultured bacterium. RNAcentral describes it as "partial 16S ribosomal RNA". It matches the Rfam family "Bacterial small subunit ribosomal RNA", at positions 899 to 1397 of the family's 1533-position model. The record is from RNAcentral.